AGUGAACGCUGGCGGUAGGCCUAACACAUGCAAGUCGAACGGCAGCACAGUAAGAGCUUGCUCUUACGGGUGGCGAGUGGCGGACGGGUGAGGAAUACAUCGGAAUCUACUUUUUCGUGGGGGAUAACGUAGGGAAACUUACGCUAAUACCGCAUACGACCUACGGGUGAAAGCAUGGGAUCUUCGGACCUUGCGCGAUUGAAUGAGCCGAUGUCGGAUUAGCUAGUUGGCGGGGUAAAGGCCCACCAAGGCGACGAUCCGUAGCUGGUCUGAGAGGAUGAUCAGCCACACUGGAACUGAGACACGGUCCAGACUCCUACGGAAGGCAGCAGUGGGGAAUAUUGGACAAUGGGCGCAAGCCUGAUCCAGCCAUACCGCGUGGGUGAAGAAGGCCUUCGGGUUGUAAAGCCCUUUUGUUGGGAAAGAAAAGCAGCAGGUUAAUACCCCGCUGUUCUGACGGUACCCAAAGAAUAAGCACCGGCUAACUUCGUG
This 492-nucleotide ribosomal RNA is filed under the name uncultured bacterium. Its description in RNAcentral is "partial 16S ribosomal RNA". It matches the Rfam family "Bacterial small subunit ribosomal RNA", at positions 29 to 507 of the family's 1533-position model. The record is from RNAcentral.